Eriocheir sinensis (Chinese mitten crab) is the source of this 855-nucleotide long non-coding RNA. RefSeq lists it as uncharacterized. The record is from RefSeq and is a predicted model, not a curated record. The transcript is spliced from 2 exons. NCBI's taxonomy places the organism in Eukaryota, Metazoa, Arthropoda, Malacostraca, Decapoda, Varunidae.
CAAGAACACAUACUUGACAAGGCUUUCCUAGGAGUCCUUGGCAUUUCCAGGGGUAGUUUUGUGACCCUGGUGGUAGUGUGACCCUUCAUCUGUAUCAUGAACCUGAAGAAACACAGAUUUGAAAAGGCUUUCCUAGGAGUUGUGGGCAUUUCCAGGGGUAGUUUUGUGACCCUGGUGGUAGUGUGACCCUUCUUCUGUACCAUGAACCUGAAGAAACACAGAUUUGAAAAGGCUUUCCUAGGAGUUGUGGGCAUUUCCAGGGGUAGUUUUAUAACCCUGGUGGUAGUUUGACCCUUCUUCUGUACCAUGAAUCUAAAGAAACACUCAUUGGAACCCAACUGGCCCACUCUUUGACCUUUAGAAAUAGCUGAUGUGAUUAGCCGAAGUGUCUUAUAAUGCCAACCAGUUUCCUUCCUUUCUCUUUUUCUACUGUCCUUUCCUUUGGUUUUCUUUCUUUCCCUAAUAUUUUUUAUUUUUCAGGUCCCUGCUUUCCCCUGACGGUGGUGGUCUCCUUGCUCCCGGGUGGUUGUCUUCACAUUUUUCUGCCUCCGCCUUCACAGUGCUUCCCAAAGGCUCCCCAAACACCACGACAGGCCAGCUGAGAAACAGAGCCUGGAGACACCCUCUUCCUCGGGGACCUUUCCUCAUGGCACCCUAACCUCCCUCCAAGAGACUCCCUCCCCACCCAACAACCCAUCCCUCCCUCCUCCCCUCAGUGCCAGGCACAUUCUCCCCUCCCAAAGUCUCCCGUCCCAUCCCAACAACCCAUCCAUAUUCUUCACUUGGUGGGCAAUGCUUGGCUGCUUGCCUUCUGAGACCUUCCUCAUGUACUUGGCAAUAUAGCCGUAGUGUUAA